Molecule: ribosomal RNA, 253 nt
Filed under: uncultured bacterium
Lineage: Bacteria
Description: partial 16S ribosomal RNA
Rfam family: Bacterial small subunit ribosomal RNA
Source: RNAcentral
UACGUAGGGGGCGAGCGUUGUCCGGAAUUAUUGGGCGUAAAGCGCGCGCAGGCGGUCCUUUAAGUCUGAUGUGAAAGCCCACGGCUCAACCGUGGAGGGUCAUUGGAAACUGGGGGACUUGAGUACAGAAGAGAAGAGUGGAAUUCCACGUGUAGCGGUGAAAUGCGUAGAGAUGUGGAGGAACACCAGUGGCGAAGGCGACUCUUUGGUCUGUAACUGACGCUGAGGCACGAAAGUGCGGGGAUCAAACAGG